CAGCUGCACCAUCGACUCACUUGCUCCUCACCUGGGAAUGGGUGUGUUGCUUGUAUUGCCUUUUUACCUGCAGGUGUACUGCAGAAAACAGACCAGCAGUCAAACUGGAAACUGGAUCAGGCAGUGAUUUGCUGCAGGAAGAGAGGUUGUCAGUCUGGAUUUCCUUAAAAUCUGUAUUUCCUUUCUGGAUUAUCCUGCUUCCAAGUGUUAGAGAUAUGUGCUCCUGUGCUGGCUGGGACUAAGAUCUUCGUCCUUUAAAGAGGCUGCACUGGAAGGACCACAAACUAGUUACAGCUCCUGUUGCUUAAACUGAACUGUAAAUAUCUGCAGUGAGAUUUUUGCAGCUUGAAGGAAAGAAACAAAACUGCAAUUUGAGGAAUUUCAAGAUGUUCUUACCCUAAUUCUUCUUCCAUGUGAAAGAGAUCAUACUAAGGCUCAAGGAACAGGCUCAGAAACAAACACAAACAAGUCACAUCUGGACACAAAUUCCCAAGUCUGCUGGUCCUGAUGAGGUCUGACCUCAAAUGGGCUCCCUUCUGUGUGGCUCCUCCCUUUUUUCUCUCCUAUAUGAAGCCAACAAAAGCACAUCAACCAUGACCUUAUGUGGACAAGCAGGGAAGUCCUUGACUUUCUGAAGGAAAAGGAAAACAGAUCUUUGAGAGGACUUCCAUUGUUCAUCUGUCUUUACAACAUUGGAGAAGAAUAGUUAUUCUUUCUACUGAACCUGACAGAAAGAGUUUUGCUGGAGGCUACUUAAGACUCUGGAGACUUCUGGCUAGAAGCACAAACAGAUUUUCCAGGCCUGAAGCAGCAGAUGUGGACAAGCAAGACACUGCAUCCCCUGCUGACUGAGAACAUGGAGCCAUGAAUGUCCUGGAGCAGAACUCACAGUAUUUCUGAACCAUCUCUCUGGAUGAUGAAAUCUGGUGGAGCAAAACCCAAUAAGAACUGAGCUUAACUUUGUAGUGAGGAUGUAACUUUAAGCAGGACAAAACUGCAUGUACCUAUUAGAAAUGAAAUAGACAAUUUAGAUAAUUUCUUUGAAGAGUAGUACUUCUUUUUAAUGUUAAGUCUGAGCUACUGGUUGAUGACAGUCCAAAUGUCCCAGGUAUAAUCUUUCAGCAGAAGUUGUGUGACUACAUAAAGUUGAGAAACCUUGCUGAGAGCAUAUCUGCAUUAAAAUAAUUGC
This is a non-coding RNA of Cyanistes caeruleus (blue tit), 1189 nucleotides long. NCBI's taxonomy places the organism in Eukaryota, Metazoa, Chordata, Aves, Passeriformes, Paridae. The record is from RefSeq and is a predicted model, not a curated record.